CCAACGGCUCUUUUCAGAGCCACCCAAGCUUUCCCAAAAAGAGCUG
Non-coding RNA from Opisthocomus hoazin, 46 nucleotides. Lineage: Eukaryota; Metazoa; Chordata; Aves; Opisthocomiformes; Opisthocomidae. The record is from Rfam.